This 579-nucleotide ribosomal RNA is filed under the name uncultured bacterium. Its description in RNAcentral is "bacterial SSU rRNA". It matches the Rfam family "Bacterial small subunit ribosomal RNA", at positions 338 to 916 of the family's 1533-position model. The record is from RNAcentral.
CCUACGGGAGGCAGCAGUAGGGAAUAUUGGGCAAUGGACGGAAGUCUGACCCAGCCAUGCCGCGUGCAGGAAGAAGGUCCUCUGGAUUGUAAACUGCUUUAGACGGGGAAGAAUAAGGAUCAUGCGUGAUCUGAUGACGGUACCCGUAGAAUAAGCACCGGCUAACUACGUGCCAGCAGCCGCGGUAAUACGUAGGGUGCGAGCGUUGUCCGGAUUUAUUGGGUUUAAAGGGUGCGUAGGCGGGAGAGUAAGUUCGCUUUUAAAGCCGGCCGCUUAACGGUCAGGUAGGGGGCGGAUACUGCUUUUCUUGAGAGGGCUCGGGGCUGGCGGAAUUUGUGGUGUAGCGGUGAAAUGCAUAGAUACCACAAGGAACACCGAUCGCGUAGGCAGCCAGCCAGGGCCUUUCUGACGCUGAGGCACGAAAGUGCGGGGAGCAAACAGGAUUAGAUACCCUGGUAGUCCGCACUGUAAACGAUGCAUACUCGGUGUCGGCUCGUUAGAGCCGGUGCCUGAGGGAAACCGAUAAGUAUGCCACCUGGGGAGUACGCCGGCAACGGUGAAACUCAAAGGAAUUGACGG